RNAcentral lists this small nuclear RNA (82 nucleotides) under Myotis lucifugus (little brown bat). Its description in RNAcentral is "U4 spliceosomal RNA (ENSMLUG00000026373.1)". It matches the Rfam family "U4 spliceosomal RNA", at positions 1 to 82 of the family's 138-position model. Rfam says of the family: U4 small nuclear RNA (U4 snRNA) is a component of the major U2-dependent spliceosome. The record is from RNAcentral. Lineage: Eukaryota; Metazoa; Chordata; Mammalia; Chiroptera; Vespertilionidae.
AGCUUUGCGCAGUGGCAGUAUCGUAGCCAAUGAGGUUUAUCCGAGGUGUGAUUAUUUCUAAUUGGAAAAAAAAAUCUAUCAU